This is a long non-coding RNA of Fukomys damarensis (Damara mole-rat), 577 nucleotides long. RefSeq lists it as uncharacterized. The record is from RefSeq and is a predicted model, not a curated record. The transcript has 3 exons. NCBI's taxonomy places the organism in Eukaryota, Metazoa, Chordata, Mammalia, Rodentia, Bathyergidae.
UAGUUUGUCUGGUUGGAAUAUUAAUAGAGUUCAGGGCUGGGGAUAUAGCUCAGUGCUAGAGUGCUUAUCUGGUAUGCACCACAUCCUGUGUUGAAUCCCCAACAUCACAAAAACAAAAUAAAAUAGAAUUCAAUACUCCACAGCUUCUACCAGUAGCUUAGGCUCAGAGUGGGAGAGGAAGGGCAGCCUUGAGUCUGAAAACUCCAGGAACAGACACCUAACUGCUCCACAUCUCCAGGCCUUGGCACUUCUGGAAAGCCACAGGCAUUGAGAAAUGAGGAUGCAAAGAAGAAAAACCAUAAUGCAGAACCAAGAUCCAGAGGUCAGCCUGUGCACAGCAGAAAGGCUGGCUGAGACCAGGGACUCCCUACAAUGACAGACGAUGAGUAAAAGAGAGUACAGUGGAUUAAUGUGUGGACAUCAUGUUGAAAAUUCAAGUUCCAAACCUACUGUACCAUUUAGUAGUAAUGAAACUUGAGAUUUACUUAGUCCUCUCAUAAAUGAUGACAUAAUACUUAUUUUAUAUAGUUAUUGUGAGAAUUCAAUGAACCAAUAUAUGUAAAGUGCUUAUAGAUUU